Long non-coding RNA from Sus scrofa (pig), 4669 nucleotides. RefSeq lists it as uncharacterized. The record is from RefSeq and is a predicted model, not a curated record. Lineage: Eukaryota; Metazoa; Chordata; Mammalia; Artiodactyla; Suidae.
AGCCACAAGGACGGUUCCAGUUCGCACUUAACGACCGAAAUCCUCCUUCCCUCUUUCCCAAGCCCCCUUCCCUUUUGUUUCCUUGAGCCCACGUACCAAUCACGAAACCCUAACUAUAAAAAAGCCCUCGCCCGGGUAGCGGUAGCGGGAGCCCAGUUCUCCCUGCUCAGGGCUCCAGCCUGUGGGCUUUAACUCCGCUGUCCCAACAGGAAGGCAUUUUUUUUUUUCAGCCUCUCCCUUAGCCGCCUAAGGGAUUCCCGUAAAGGACCUGUUCCUGGAAAAGAACUACCGCCAGAGAGAUUUGCCAGAAAUGUGGGCUCGGUGUGGCCAGGGGAGAUACGCCUCAGGUCAUUGGAUGGGGAUGGGGGAGGCCUGCCUUCAGGUUCACACCCAGGGCAGGAGUUCGAGGACUGCCCUCCUGCUGAUUUGAAUAAACACCGGAACCGGAUACCAAGGAGGAGCUGCUACUCAAGAAAGAGGAAGAGGCGGGCUUUUCCGACCCCCACGCCCCUGGGAUGGUAAAGCUGCAGCCCACCUCGUCCUGGGGCAGAGUCUCCUUGCCUGCCUGCUUGCAUCGCUCACCAGCGUCCUAUCCUAACACCUCUGUUUCGUGCCCAUCACUUUGUCUCUCGCUGAAUUCCUUCUGCGUGGAGACAUAGAGAACCUCAACCUCAGUGAGUCCAGACGCAGGAGGAGAGCGUUUCCCAGACUCCUUGCCCCUGAGUGAGGAUACGUGCCUGGUUCUGGCCAAGGGGCUGUGGCUGAUACAGCAGGUGUCACUCUGAGUCAAAGCAAAGGAUGUGCAGACAUGAAGUCUCCACGCUCUCUCUUCUUCUCCCCUUGUCUCAAGGUGUCAGAGGCACCAGCUUAUGAGGGAUGUAUGAUUGUCAGCACCUCCACUUUACAGAAGAGGACACCUGGGUAUGAUGAUAAGCUGCCCAAGGUCCCAUAUCUGGUGCUUCAUAAUCCUGGCAAAGCCACUAAGCUGAGCAGAGCUGCAGAAAUUCCCUGGCUUUCCUGCUGGAAGAUGUCGAUCAAUGAGGGCGCUCGCGGCCUUUGAUGUCAGGCAUCCACGCCCGCUUCUGUAAAGACUCUCGGCUCCACAAGAGAACGGGAAGUCACUGUGAAGAAAGAGGCAGGCGAUGUAACCGGAAAAGCGCGGGUUUGAUGUCAAACAGACCUGCGUGGUUCCACCGCUUUCCGACUGUGUGACACCUCCCUCCCCCACCCCCGGCCCAGUUGCUCUCUGAACCCAAGUCUUGGAAAAUGGAACCAAUAAUACCUGUUCUUCAAGACUGUUCCUGCUGGAAGCUCCAAGAUUCAUCUGAAGGCGUGAUCACAUCCUCAAUGUUGAGUGGACUAUGAACCGGCUGCCAGAGACAGGGUUCCAAGCCGGGCCAGGCCCAUCCCAAUGCCCACCCGAAAAGACGGGACAGAGGAAAGAAAGAAACAAAAUCCUGGGGCUCCAUUGGCUUUCUUUUUGACUCCAGCUGAAGUUGCUGCAUAGUGUGGCCUUGCCAGUCCUCGCCUUGAAAAAUGAGCGGAGCUCCUUUCUUUAUGAACUUUGGUGACGUGGCAUUAUGAUGUUACGGCAGAAGAGAUUAAUAACAGCGCCUCGUUUCUGUUCCGCCACCAUUAGAGGGCUGGAAGCGACUGCCGUGAUGGAUCAUCUAAUCCCACAGCCUCAUUCUGCAGAGGACCCCGAGCCUCGACUUGGCCAAGGGCCACACCCAUGGCGUAUGGUUUUCACAUGGAAUCGGAGCUGCAGUUGCCGGCCUAUGCCACAGCCACAGCAAGGUAGGAUCUGAGCCAAGUCUUUGACCUACACCACAUCUCACGGCAAUUCCAGAUCCCUGGACCCACUGAGUGAGGCCAGGGAUUGAACACGCACCCUUAUGGAUACUAGUUGGAUCACAACGGAACUCCCUGAAAAAUCAAGGUCUUUAAAGCAAUUCAUCAACCCCACCAACAUCUUGGCAUAAGAAAAUUGAUUCUGUAAGUCAAAAGAACUUAUAACAUGGUAUAUUGGGAGGAUGGCAGGGCUUGGUAAGUGGUAGCAACGCAGCUGGUAGAUUUUUCUUUGUUGUGUCCUUGUCCUUACGCUCUUUUAGCCACAUUUUCAUUCAGGAUUCUUGGGUUGGAAGCAACAGAAAUGGACUCUUUUGGCCUUAAGCAAAAAGAAAAUUUGUUGAAAGGGCAUGGAGGAGUUCAUAGGAUUGACUAGAAGUUUGGAGAAGUAGGCUCAGGAGUCAAGGCAUUUAUAGAGGAGGGUAGGGUAGAGAGGUGAUAAAAAUAAUGCAACGGUCUUAUUUGGAAAUUGUACUGGAAUGUAAGAGUUUCAUCUUUCCUCCUCCCUCCCUCUCUCUCUCUUUCUGCCACUUCAUUCGAGAUUCCAAUUUCAGCGAAGGAGCAUCCAAUUGGCCUGUCUUGGUCAGAUUCCCACCACCCCCAUGGUUAGGGGAACACAGCAUAUUCGAAAUGGCAUUCCCACGAGGUACAUUCCAUGGAAAAGUAAUACCACAAAGAAAAUAUGGACACAGUUAUCAAAGGAAGAUAAAACAGGUGCUGGGUAGCCAACAAUAGCCUAUUUCCACUAUAUCCUUUAAAAAAAAUCCCAGUAACUCUUCUAUGAUUACUGAUUUUUCAGGAGAGAAAUUUAACGAUGGAAGAGUGUAUACAUAGUGAUGAAAAGAAUGGGAGGAUUUAUAAGAUACAAGUCAUUUUCUUUGAGUUGUGGGUCAAUGGUUGGGUCCAUUUUUCUUCUGUUGUUUUUUCCUAUAGAGCACAUUUAUAACCUUUUAAAAGUAAACUAUGUUUUCUACUUUAAGAUGAGUGAAAUGAGGGGGGAGUGUCCUUUUGACUGGGGACAUAGUCACUAGUUACUCUAUGUUAAUAACAGAAGCAUACAUUCCUCUCGAGGGGCAACAGUGUUCUUUUACAUUAAACUCUCAACAGAAACCAAAAGAACCACCACCAAAAAAAUCCCACCCAGUUUGGAAAGGACUUGUGCUUGUGGGUCGGGGGCAGAAGGAAGCAAUUUCCCUCCAUUUUCUGCCUGAGCAGGCCUUUUGCACUUUGAUAUUCGUUUCACUAAUAAGGUGUUUCAUUAUUUCUCCCACAAAAAGAGCUGGUGCUGUUAUGAGAUGCUGUUGAAGACUCUGGUUUGCCCAGAUGUGCCGCAGUGAAAACAGCCUUUCUCUGACGUGCAUGACUUGUGAGGAUGAUGGGACCUGUGGGAAGAGGGGAUCCUUUUUCAGAGUUUGGAAAGAGAGACAAAAUAACGCCAUCUGCCCUGCAUGGCUGACAGAAACACAUUCUUCCCUAAUCAGUGGGUCACUCACUUCCGCACUAUGUUGCAGGGAAGCAUCAUCUGAUUCCAAGCCUAAGGCUGGGUCAUCCGCGGCACUGACUUCUCCCGACCCUUCUCCGAGCUUCCUGUGCCAGUUUUCAUCAUCAAAUUUCUCUGCUCCCUUAGACCAGCGGAAAAGAAGUUAUGAGCUCUCUCCAUCAUUCGCCGGUCUCUUCGGCCCUUCCUCCUUUGAAGUUUUCUUAUUCGGGGUCUUUUUUCGCUUCUUCUCCAUGUUUCAUCCUCUCUCACUGUAACCUUUUUAUCUCUGGAGAGUUCUCUCUGUGCCUCUGGGCCCUUCUCUUUCUAGUUGGUUCUCAGAACCCAUUCUGGGAUUCUAUUUCAGUCCAUCCGUCUCUCCAACAGACCACGGGUGAAACCAGGGCCGGUAAUCAGUCCCAGCUGCUGGAGGCGUCCGCUCUGGGUCGGCCCCACGUUUGUGGGCUGAUGUUUUGCUUCCCAUAAUGCUCUGGGAGUACUGCUGCUCAGAGCUUGGCUUGUGCUUUUUCUUCUCCUGCCAAGGGGCCCUGCUUCCAAAACCCAGAUUAGAAAACAUGGGACGUUAAAAAAAAAAAAAAAAAGAAUUUGUCCUAUUUCGCAUUUCCUUUUCCAACAGCAGAGUUCUUACACUUUGAUAAUUUCAGAGUGAGAACACAAAUUAAGCGGAUCGGAGGGGAAGGGCUCGUUGGAGAGAAACCCUCUGUCCUUUGAGCCGUCUUGCUGCACCCUGUACGCCUUCCUAGCUCUUCUCGCUCUGUUUACGCCACCACGCGUCACCCUCCAGCUAGAAGGCUUUGGAGGACAGGGACUCCGUCUCCCAGGUCCAUGCAUAGAGUAAGGAUCCAUAUGAAGAUUUUUUCUGUCUGAAGAUUUUUCUUCAGGCAGAGCCCCCCCCCCCCCCCCGAAUGUGUCCUGAGACCGUAGCUGGUUUCAACUGAGUCCAGCUGAGAGGAGCCACGCUGAGGGGGAGGCAAGCAGAGGACAAUGCAGGAUAGGAGGAGGAGGGCAGCAGCAUGUGGCCCGCAGAAGUCAGGACUAGAAGGAAAGCUGCUGAAAUAGAACCAGAGCGAGAGUCCCAUUAGUCCUCCCAUCUUGGACAACGUGGUCAUUUCCUUCAAAUCUCCCCAUUCUCAGGGACAGAAAAAAAUGGUAACGACAAUGAUAAUAGUAGCUAAUAACUGAUACUGAUCUCACCUUGCAGGAACUGUUCUAAAUGCUUUAUACUUACUAACCCAUGUUGUCUUCACAAUAUUAUUUAUUUAUUUACAACCCGCAGUUGCAGCAUAUGGAAGUUUCUGGGCUAGGGAUUGAAUUGGAGUUGCA